GACGUAAGGUGCGAGCGUUGUCCGGAUUUAUUGGGCGUAAAGAGCUCGUAGGCGGCUCGUCGCGUCGACCGUGAAAACCCGCAGCUUAACUGCGGGCUUGCGGUUGAUACGGGCGGGCUAGAGUUCGGUAGGGGAGACUGGAAUUCCUGGUGUAGCGGUGAAAUGCGCAGAUAUCAGGAGGAACACCGGUGGCGAAGGCGGGUCUCUGGGCCGAUACUGACGCUGAGGAGCGAAAGCGUGGGGAGCGAACAGG
Molecule: ribosomal RNA, 253 nt
Filed under: uncultured bacterium
Lineage: Bacteria
Description: partial 16S ribosomal RNA
Rfam family: Bacterial small subunit ribosomal RNA
Source: RNAcentral